GUGGACUACUAGGGUUUCUAAUCCCAUUCGCUACCCACGCUUUCGUGCUUCAGUGUCAAAUAUGCGCCAGCGUACUGCCUUCGCAUUUGGUGUUCCCCAUGAUAUCAACGGAUUUCACCCCUACACCAUGAGUUCCGUACGCCUCUCACACUUUCAAGUCCUGCCGUUUCCUUCGCGAUUCCCAAGUUAAGCUCGGGGAUUUAACAAAAGACUAACAGAACAACCUACGCACCCUUUACGCCCAAUAAUUCCGGAUAACGCUCGAGGCUCUCGUAUUACCGCGGCGGCUGGCACGC
RNAcentral lists this unclassified non-coding RNA (296 nucleotides) under uncultured fungus. RNAcentral's name for it is "sequence contains ITS1". Lineage: Eukaryota; Fungi. The record is from RNAcentral.